AGAGUUUGAUCCCGAACGCUGGCGGCAGGCUUAACACAUGCAAGUCGAGCGCCCUGUUUACAGGGAGCGGCAGACGGGUGAGUAACGCGUGGGAAUGUGCCUUUUGGUUCGGAAUAGCCCCGGGAAACUGGGAGUAAUACCGGAUAAGCCCUUCGGGGGAAAGAUUUAUCGCCAAAAGAUCAGCCCGCGUUAGAUUAGCUAGUUGGUGAGGUAACGGCUCACCAAGGCGACGAUCUAUAGCUGGUCUGAGAGGACGACCAGCCACACUGGAACUGAGACACGGUCCAGACUCCUACGGGAGGCAGCAGUGGGGAAUCUUGGACAAUGGGCGAAAGCCUGAUCCAGCCAUGCCGCGUGAAUGAUGAAGGCCUUAGGGUUGUAAAAUUCUUUCAGCAAGGAAGAUAAUGACGGUACCUGCAAAAGAAGCCCCGGCUAACUUCGUGCCAGCAGCCGCGGUAAUACGAAGGGGGCUAGCGUUGUUCGGAAUUACUGGGCGUAAAGCGCGCGUAGGCGGGUUAUUAAGUCAGAUGUGAAAUCCCAGGGCUCAACCCUGGAACUGCAUUUGAAACUGAUAGCCUAGAGUUCAGGAGAGGUUAGCGGAAUACCGAGUGUAGAGGUGAAAUUCGUAGAUAUUCGGUGGAACACCAGUGGCGAAGGCGGCUAACUGGACUGAUACUGACGCUGAGGUGCGAAAGUGUGGGGAGCAAACAGGAUUAGAUACCCUGGUAGUCCACACCGUAAACGAUGAGUGCUAGUUGUCUGCAGGCAUGCCUGUAGGUGACGCAGCUAACGCAUUAAGCACUCCGCCUGGGGAGUACGGCCGCAAGGUUAAAACUCAAAGAAAUUGACGGGGGCCCGCACAAGCGGUGGAGCAUGUGGUUUAAUUCGAAGCAACGCGCAGAACCUUACCUACGCUUGACAUGCCCGGACGAUUUCCAGAGAUGGAUUUUCUUCAUUUAGUUGGUCGGUGCACAGGUGCUGCAUGGCUGUCGUCAGCUCGUGUCGUGAGAUGUUGGGUUAAGUCCCGCAACGAGCGCAACCCUCAUCCUUAGUUGCCAUCACGUUUGGGUGGGCACUCUAGUGGGACCGCCGGUGUCAAACCGGAGGAAGGUGGGGAUGACGUCAAGUCCUCAUGGCCCUUACGCGCAGGGCUACACACGUGCUACAAUGGCAGUGACAAUGGGAUAAUCCCCAAAAACUGUCUCAGUUCGGAUUGUCGUCUGCAACUCGACGGCAUGAAGUUGGAAUCGCUAGUAAUCGUGGAUCAGCAUGCCACGGUGAAUACGUUCCCGGGCCUUGUACACACCGCCCGUCACAUCAUGGGAGUUGGUUCUACCCGAAGAUCGUGCGCUAACUUCGGAGGCAGCGAGCCACGGUAGGAUCAGCGACUGGGAUGAAGUCGUAACAAGGUAACC
Molecule: ribosomal RNA, 1415 nt
Filed under: uncultured prokaryote
Description: partial 16S ribosomal RNA
Rfam family: Bacterial small subunit ribosomal RNA
Source: RNAcentral